GGGCGCCACGUGACGCGCUGGGCGGUCACGUGAGGGCGGCCCACGUGACGCGCGGGCAGGCGGCUAUGGCGGAGGAGGAGGAGGAGCGGGCGCUGCUGGGCCCCGGCGGCGGCGGCGGCGGCUCCGGUUGCGGCUCCCCGCCGGGGGGGCCGCGCGGCCUGUCCGCCGCCUGCGACCCGCGGCGCCUGCCGCACCGCCUCCUGGUGCUCGCCCUCAUGUGCUUCCUGGGCUUCGGCAGCUACUUCUGCUACGACAACCCGGCGGCCCUGCAGACGCAGGUGCAGGCGGACAUGAAGGUGAACACGGCGCGGUUCAUGGCGCUCUACGCCUGGUACUCCUGGCCCAACGUGGUGCUCUGCUUCUUCGGAGGCUUCCUGAUAGACAGAGUGUUUGGGAUACGGUUGGGCACAAUAAUAUUUAGUAUCUUUGUUUGUGUUGGGCAGGUGAUUUUUGCUUUGGGAGCACUAUUUAAUGCUUUUUGGCUGAUGGAAGCAGGCAGAUUUGUGUUUGGAAUAGGUGGAGAGUCCUUAGCUGUGGCGCAAAACACUUAUGCAGUCAGUUGGUUUAAAGGCAAAGAAUUAAAUCUUGUGUUUGGAUUACAGCUAAGCAUGGCCAGAAUUGGGAGCACAGUGAACAUGAAUGUCAUGGGAUGGAUAUACUCCAGAGUUCAAGAUCUUCUGGGGCAUACUGGUCACAGUACUCUUGGGUUAACUCUCUUGAUAGGUGGCAUAACAUGUCUCCUUUCCCUGGCUUGUGCAUUAAUCCUUGCUUAUCUGGACAAAAGAGCAGAGAAGCUCCUUUGUAAAGAGCAAGGAAAAACUGGUGAAGUGAUUAAGCUCACUGAUGUGAAGGACUUCUCUUUGUCUUUGUGGCUCAUAUUUGUAAUCUGUGUCUGUUAUUAUGCAGCUGUCUUUCCUUUCAUUGGACUUGGAAAGGUUUUCUUCAUUGAGAAAUUCAAAUUCUCAUCUCAAGAAGCAAGUGCAAUUAACAGUAUUGUUUAUAUCAUAUCAGCACCCAUGUCCCCUGUCUUUGGACUCCUGGUGGAUAAAGUUGGAAAGAAUAUCAUCUGGGUUUUAUGUGCUGUAGUAACUACACUCGCUUCUCAUGUCAUGUUGGCCUUUACCUUCUGGAACCCCUGGGUAGCAAUGUGUUUACUAGGAGUGGCUUACUCGCUGCUUGCCUGUGCCCUGUGGCCCAUGGUGGCCUUUGUAGUUCCAGAACAUCAGUUGGGAACUGCUUAUGGCUUUAUGCAGUCUAUCCAGAAUCUGGGUCUGGCAGUUAUUGCUAUAGCAGCUGGUAUGAUACUGGACACAAGAGGAUAUCUGUUUCUUGAGGUGUUCUUCAGUGCUUGUGUUUGCUUGUCACUAAUAGCUGUAGUCAUGCUGUAUUUUGUGAAUCACCUCACAGGAGGUGAUCUUAACUGGUCUGCAAAGAAAAGGGAAAAACUGCAAAAAGUAGCUGCAACUGAGACCUUGGAAGUCUUUAACCGUAACAGCAACAGUAGUGGAUUCUUCAUCGUGAACCUCCCAGAGCGCCUGUCUUUGGCCCGCGACCAAGACACCAGGAAUGAUUUUGUUCAUGCUUUCCUGCGAAGGGCGGUGCUGGAAUCGGCUUGCUUGGCCCGCUGCUCAGCUAGCAGACAUAGCUGAAUAUAUCCUGUACCCUGAACUGAACCUGAACGCUUGUCGCAGACCUGCUUCAGCUAAAACUCUGCAUCUCUGUGGAAAAGCAGGAACAGAUGAUUUUCUUCCACUGGAAGGGCAGACAACAGUCCUUGUUCACAAAAAGGGUCUAGCGGCGAUGCAAUCUCCCUCGCUGUACCGGAGCUGCGGACUGGCACCGUUGGCACCCUCAGCAGAAAUCCUUCCGACCCUGAUGUGUUUUGUGAAGCCUGAAGUUGCAGGUUUAAGUCUCUAGGUGUCCGUUCUGUUUGGAGGCCUCGGGGUUUCCUGGUGUGAAGCAGCCCGUGAGCCCAGGCCACAUCAGCGGGAUGCUCCAGCAGUGAGCUCCAUCCACGUGAGAGUGCUGCAAGCGCAGGAUGAAGAGAAAAACGGACUGAAAAGCUAUUGGACAUGCCAGAAAAGGAAGCAGAGAGUCCACCAUCGAUUUUUCCCGGCAGAGCAUGCAAUGUGAAGCUGCUGUGGAAAUGACAGUUUGGGAGCAAGACAGCUGCUUUCUACAAAAUCUUCCCUCCUUCUGUUAUAUCCUGGGGAAUAACCGGUGUUUGGGACUGGUGUGUUAUUCAGUGCAUUAUGGAGGGGUUCUGGGGUGUGUGUUUUGGGGCAACUUUAACUAAUCCAGCUGGGAAUGGUGCCCCUGGAGAGGUUUCAGUUGUGUUUGUGUGACUGGAUUUGACCUUUGAAGGAAGGCACACAUAUCUUCCCUAGAAUAUCUGUGGAUAUAGGCUGAAAUUUUCUCAUUCUGCAAGCAAAAGGUGGGUCCUUUUAGCAAACAGAAGCAAGAAAAUAGCUUCUGUUUUGUUUCCUCUGAAGGAGCAAGUUUCACUCUUUCUGGUAUCUUUAAUUUUCAUAUGAUAUCUGCAGAUCUGUAAAUGUCAGGCUGUUCUGUUCCUCAAAUUAUUAAAAUCUGUUACUGUAAUAUCUUAAUUAACUGACUUAUUUACAUGUUUACAAAGCUGCUUCUCUGGAUAUAAAACAGCUGCUAAUGUCAGUGAUUCAGAAACAGUGUAGCUGGCAUCUUGCGUUUCUCGUCAGCUGCACCAGUAAUUGAACAUAACUGGCCACUUCAAGUUAAGGUAAGUGAUGUAACUGCCUUAUAGCAUCCUAGGUGCAGUGGUUUACUUACGGCAAUUGAUGAAAAAAAUCUCAAAUAUCACUUAGAUAUUUAUGGGAAAUUGAUUGACCUGUUUAAUGGUAAAGACUUAAGGCCAUUUUUUGUUUAUUCUAGCUGGUAUUUGGUAGGUAACUGAGCUCCCUUGGAUCUCCUAAGACUCUGGCAGGUGGGAGCAGGACCUGACCUUUCCAUGAACGGAGCAUCUUGCUGCUGGGCUGGGCCAUCCCCAAAGCCUGUGAAUGGUUAGUGGCUGCAGCCGGUUCUUCAUUUCAGCCUUGGCAGAUUUACAGGUAGGCGAAAAUGCUUCCAAACCCUGUCCCUCCUGCUUUCGCACACUCCAAAUAUUGUGGCGACAAGUGUGAGGAGUGCUGCUAACCGCAGCGAUGCAGCUUUCUGCGAGCUCGUCUGGGCCGCUGGCAGGGCCAGGGCAAGCUCACCCGCCCCUGGUCGCUGCCCUUCGUCUCUGGGGCCAGCUGGGCUCGCGGCGUUGGCACGAGGGGCUCAGCCAGCACUGUGCCAGCGCUCCUGGAGAGAAGCCACCGGUUUGGAAAGGAAAGGUAGAAGCAGUGUUUCUAUGAAAAGUCACUGCUUUUAUUCUCAGCCUAGGAAGGAAGACGACUGUCAAUUCGCACAGUGAUAUCAGACAAAUACCCAAACAUACUCACUUGAGCAAUGGGAAGUACUUCAGGAAUAAAUGUGAAGUCAUCAUUGAUUCGAGUAUGUGACACAGAGCCCGUGAAUGUUUUCUUUCAGACAAUCUUUGGUUUUUUUUGUCAUUUGUAUUAUUUUAUAUUAUUAUAUACACUUUUAAUAUCUAUUUUAUAGAACAGCAGUGAGAACAAAUGAGCUCGAUCUGUUGGUCAAGAAUGAGGUCUGUUGGGGAACUGUCUCUUAAAAUGAUUUCACAGUGUUCCUGGUUGGCCCCUGGUAAACUGGAUAAUUUUUGCAUGGCUACCUGUGUGAUCUCUUCCAGUCCGGCAUUCCUGGGUAAGUCAGUCUGCUAACCUGACUUUGAAAACUAACUUGCUUUGACUUUGCUGUUGCUUUGACACAAGUUGGCUAACUUAGGGUAACCUUCAUGUAAGAAUGCACCCGACCUUGAAUAUGAGAUCAACAGCAAAACUUCUCUUGUGACACUUAAGCUAUUGGAAUUUCUUAUACAAGGAGCUUCCAAAAGCAGAUUUUACAGUCUUUGUAUAUAAAAUUCACUUAAAAUAGUUGUUUGUGAGACCAGAGUUGAUAACCCAGUGUAUGAAAUCUGCCAGAAAUGAUUGAUGCACAGAUGAGACGCUGAGUGAAAAGUGAAGGGAAGGUGUGGGAUUGCAAGGCUUCAUUUAAAUACAAAGGCAAUGUAUUUAUAUUGAUUUAUUUUUAUGCCAAUAGGUUCUGACAUAAAUGUAGUGAUAUAUAAUGUAUUGACUAUAAUGUCAACAUUAUUUUAAAGCUGACUCAGGGAAAAAUAUCUCACUGUUAGUGCUGAAAUAUAAUGGUUUAUUCUGCUGAAGGGGAAAGCCUAUGAAAAUAUGAUCCAAAUAACCUCUUUCUUAAGACCCUGUAUAAUGGCUUUUAAAAUGACUUCACACAUUCCUAGUGAGUAACAGCAGAGGUGACCUGGGUCUGCGCACUGUGUCCUGAAAUUGUUUUGGGAGUUGAAGUGUAAUAGCAGCCUGUGACGAGGACGAGCGUGUCACGCUGCCGCGUCUGCAGCCCCACGUGCUGAAGGUGAGGGUAAGGUGGAGGCACGGCUCUUCAGACAGCCCUGCCGCACAGCUCCUGCAGCUGCCUUCCGCUUUCAAGUACCCUAAAUUUGCAUCCGCGCUGCACAGCUCGUUGUCUGUUAGGUGCACCCUAUUUGCAUGCGGAUUUUAAUGCUAGGCACGGUUUUGUGCCUAGCAUUGUGCAUGUUGUGCUGUGUUAAACUAUCGGAUUACACGUCUGUGGAUUACGUGCCUUUUCCUGAAGUCAAGAGGAAAGGCCCGUGCUAAGAUGUCAAAUGACCUUUCAUUUGAGGCCUGGAUGCUUUUUAAUUUUUUGGUGUGUUUUGGAGCUGAUCUUGCUAGGGGUGGAAGAACUGCUGGAUGCCCUGGGGUGAAAAGAUAGCUUUUCAUUGACUGAACAGCCUCAUCCAGAGCGGUUUCACCCUUUUUCCUUCCUGCUUCUUUUCUUUACUUUCUAUUCUAAAUUUUGCAGGUCACAUAUUCGGACGUUCACUGAAGCAACGUUACCUUCGAGACCAGGUUAAAUGAUGUUGGCUGUAGCCAUUGGAAAUUGGUGGAAACUGCAUGCCAGCAGCAGGUCUGCAUUCCCCCUCUGUGCUCACAUCUGGCCCCGGGGAUGUAACUUCCAGCAUACUUUCCACUUAGGUCCACUUCCUUCACAGUCUGCUGUAUCUGCUUGCUAUUUGCUUUUUUUUAAAAAGAAAUCCUCUCUGAAAAUGCUUCAGUUAACUGAUGCUCACCAUAAGUAUUAGAGCUUGGCUGCACAAAAAGCAGCAGUGCUGGAGCCACGAGGUUGGCUGCUGCCCUCCGGGUUAGUAACGUGGCCGUGCUGCAGCCCAGGAACCACCGAUGGUCACAGUGGCAGUGUGUGUGUGUUGAACGAGGGUUUUCUUUGUAUCGAAUAGCUCCUGUUACUUAGCUUGCAGUUAUUCUGCCUAAAUUAGCUUAAGUCUACCUUUGCGUUUUUUGCAACAUUUCAUCCCUUUUUACCCUAAGUGUCUUUAUAGUGAAUUUUUCUUAGUAUUUGUAUAUAUGGAAAUGGUUGUGCUUAUUGCUCAGUGUUGGAGCUAAGAGACAGGGCAUUUCCUAGUAGUUUUGAGCCUGCUGCUGGCGUGCUGCUCUGGAUAAGUCCCUUAAACCCAUGGCCAGCAAUAUCGAGUGUCUUGAGUCACAGGACCUCCAGGUGAAGAUGGGCUGUGGGCCAGGAGCAGUAGGGAUGCUCAGGAAGGUUGCUCGCAGCUCCUGGCAUUUUCAGCCUGUGGUUUUGCCCCUCUGACUCAUUUCUGCCUUGCAGCAUCGAACGUAGCAGCCUGGGCCACUUGCAUAAUGGUCUAUCUAUAUGUUCGUGGUACGUGGGGUACUGCAAAGUUUUAAUUGAAGUAUGUUAAUUGUUUAAAAAGUGCCAAGUGGAGGGCACUGUACAUAGAUGCACGCUUUUUCCCUCUGUGUGAAAUUAUUUUUCUUUCUCAUUUUCUUCUACAUCUUUUUUUUUUCUGCUUUCCCUUUAUACAGGCUGCUGGUACAAAGGGCUUAUUCAUGAGGUUAACCUAAUUACUGUCUUCAGAAACAAAGCCUGUUUCUACAGUGAAUAUCCUUUUGAAAUCCAUCAUCUGAAUAUUGCCUAAUAAAGUUAGCAAAUGGCCUGCAAAUGAACCAAAAUGACUCAGUGUCUUGUCUAGCAAAGAAUGUGUUAUGUUUUUUUUGAUACUGACAAAAAUGUUUAAAAUUCUUAAUGCAUUGCUUUGCUAGUGGAUUAAUAUGCAUUUUUUCUGUCUUGAGAUGAAAAACACUGUCUGGAUUUAAUGCAACACUUACAAAAUUGCUGAUGUGAGUCUGUUAAAGCAAUUUUAUAUACACACUAGAGACAACUGGAAAGUUCACUUUGAGUAGAUCAAAUACUUCUAAUCAGUAACUAAAAUGUAUUCAUAAAGUUGAAAGACACUAAGGCAUGAAUUUAACUGCCUUCAUAUAUUUUCUGUGCUUGAUGCAAAGGUGAUACAUUUUUCAUGUAAGCAAAGCUCCUUGGAGUAGCAUAUGCUUUGGGGAGAUAAUUACGGAAGAUCAAUAUGUACUGAUUGAUUGAGUUUUGACGUAAGUACACGUUCUCUGUCUGUUUGGAUACAAUGAUGGUCGAGCCUUAGCGUAUGCUUCUGUUGGUUAGAGUCCUGAGCUUUACAGAAGUAUUAAAAAUUCCUUCACAGUGGCUUGCCUGUGAAUUUUUAAUUCUGUGCUGGAGUGCGGUCUGACCACUUCUCUCUCUUUUUUUUUUUAUCCUGGAAAUGAGCUGCAUCCCUUGGCCCAGCCCCAGCUGCUGCGGACUGCUCCCACUGGAGCUUAAUUACUGUGCAUCUUUGUAACUUGGAAAAUAUUAGUUUACUGAAAAACAUUUCAGAAAGCAUACUGUAAAAAUACCUUUUUCCUACUGAGUGCAAAAAUCCAAUGUUAAGCAGUGAUUAUGCUUGAUGUGUUCAAAGGAAAGAUCAUUAUUUUAGUUAAUUCUUAAAUAGCUCUCUGGUUUGGAAAUAGUAUCUGAAUUAAUGGUAUUUUGGGCAUCGUUACAUAUUAAUGGACUCCAUUUGAUUUAUUUUUUCUGGCAGUUAUCCACUUGCGCAAUGUACUGUGCCUGACCAUUCCAUUUUCCCUUGUUAUUGAGAGGCAGAGCGCGGGUUAGUACCUCGAGCCAACAAGGGAGUCUGCAUGUGAACAUCGUAGGAUCUUGCGUCGUUUUUAAUGGUGAGUUAUGGACUGUCACGCAGAAUAUCUGGACGCACUUAAUAACUUUCUGAUGGCCACUGUAACAGACAUAAAGGUAAGUAUGUGUUGUCACUGAGCCGCUAAAGAGGCAGCCUUCCACUCACCAGAUGCUGUUAUGCUGCUUUGAAUGGUCUUUAUAGCUAUUUUUGUAAUUACAAACUUUUUUUUCUAGCUCCAGUAGCGCUUAAAUAAAAAACUGAUCCCGUGGAAUUUUAGUGCUGAAUAUUAAAGUUGGCAUUUAUUUGCAAGAGUCACUUUGGGGUGCCUAAUUUGUCCGCAAGAGCAAGGUUUUCUGCUCAGCCUGCAAAAUGGUGCAAUAAAAAUCAGUGAUUGAUGUUUAUUAUCAGAUUAAAUGGUUUAGCUGUGGGGAUCAAAGCUGUAAAUUACUGCACUCCCCAAGCUGUGAUUGGCCACCAGAGAUCUUUCUAAGUGCCAGCAUUUUUUAAUGAGAUCGUAUAUUUUCAGGCCUCUAACGGUAUCAACUUUUGUAGUUUAUUGAAACUGUGUUUAAAAUAACAGCCUACCAGGUGUCAAAAAUAUUGCAUGUGUUGUAUUUGCUUGGUCAAACAUCCCGGAGGAAAAAGCCGCGAGUUAAAAGCGGUGAUUUUGAUUCCUGACCCAACGUAGCGGUCGGGUCCGAGAAGGAGCGCUGCGUUUUGGAGGAUGCUGUCCUGACUAUCCGCUAGCGCGGGUUUUGCUUCGUUUCAUUUUUGGUUGUUCCGCUCAUGGGCUGCUCCUUGGGCUGUAGCGUCAGUAGGGACACAGGGCGAUGCCAAGGGGAGCCAUAAAUUGGUGUGAGGUGUGUUACUGUGUCCACCCCAACCCAACUAACCCUGCUGCUCCUUGCUGAUGUGUGAUGUUAGAGGAGGGAUAGCUCAAGAGGUUGGCUGAGGUGUAGUAUUCAUAGGCGCUAAAUAUUUCUGUUCUUGAUAGUCGUGGAAGGACUACACUGUUAGUGUAGUUUUGGCCAGAUCCAUCAAGGAUUAAGAGUAAAUUUUUCCCCACUUGGGAGAUUGGCCGUAUUGGGGCCAGCGUUUUACUCCAUUGUUCAUCAAAGUAUGGGGACAAAAAGUCUAAAUGGCACAACAGUCUAAACUCUCAUAUUAUUUGCAUAUAUGGCAAGGGCAUGCCCCCAAACAUCAAAAGCAUGUUAUUCAGUGAUGGGCACUGCAGGAAAGAAAUACUGAGAUAAUUUUCUUGAUUGCUCUUAAACUCUCUAUCUGAAAACCAGUGGUCAAAGAAUAGCUGAAAUUUAGUCUUUCAUUAGAGAAGACUAAAUUAUAUUGUUGCUUGCUAUAGGAGAUUUAUAAUUGGGGAAAAUCUUAACUGUGAAACCAUUAAUCUACAGUACAGUACUGUAGCAUCAAAAGCAAGACAUUGUCUUCCUGUCCCCAGGACAUUCUUUGAGUAAAACAAAUGAUUUUCUAACAAAGGAGGUCUUUUUUCUUUUAUGUUAAAAAGUUGGUCUUUUUUCCUUGUGGCUGCAUCUACUCUCAGGAGAGCCUGAUUAAGCAGUUCAGUUCAGAAGAGUUUGUACUGGAGCGUCAGUUUGCGGGGAGAGAUCUGUCGGCAUGCUGGGGGGUCUUCCAGUCGGUCGGCGCGGCUCGGUUGGAGGGCGAGGUUCAAAGCCUGCUCUUCCCUUUCAUUCGUCCUGCAUCAGCACAUUGCGUGCUCUUCCCGCUGCACCCGGGAAAAUGUGGGUUUUCAAAGGUACCAGUUCUGUAAAUCUCCCGGGAGCAGCCGUUUCUGCUCCACAGCCAGAGGAAGGAAGAUCCUUUGAGGCUCCUUUGGUGGCAAGGAGCAGUAGCUCGGUCCUGGAGGGCUGAAUACCUGACUGACUGCUGGUUGAGAGGUGUCAGAGAAAGUGCAUCUCACGUCCAGGUAGAACAUGGAUAGAGGAGGAGAUCCCAUUUCUUGGUGUGCCGUUGGAAUCGUUUCCCGAUGCCGGCAGAAACAGAGCGGAGUGGUUGGCUCCAUCCCAGCGCCUUAAGGGAUGAUCUCCGUCCGUGGGCUGUGAGCGAGCUGAGAGUAUGGAGCUGCUAUAUUCUGAGCUCGGUGAGAUACGAGGGCUUGCAGAGGGCCUUGCCAAGCUGGCGUUAGGUCGUGGAGAGAAGCUCUACGGGACUAGAGGGCACGGGGGACAGGAUGGAGGAGUGGACGAGGAGCAGAGCAAAGGCAUCGUUCUGGGGUCAGGACGCGGGAUUUGUGCCUGUUACACUGCACCUUGGGUAACUGUAAACUGGGUAUUUUAACCAGAAUAAAAUUGAAAGCCUGUUUGGUUUUGAAUUUGAA
Molecule: RNA transcript, 9557 nt
Organism: Dromaius novaehollandiae (emu)
Lineage: Eukaryota; Metazoa; Chordata; Aves; Casuariiformes; Dromaiidae
Gene: MFSD1
Gene name: major facilitator superfamily domain containing 1
Exons: 22
Source: RefSeq, a predicted model, not a curated record